AUUGAACGCUGGCGGCAUGCCUUACACAUGCAAGUCGAACGGUAACAGGUCUUCGGAUGCUGACGAGUGGCGAACGGGUGAGUAAUACAUCGGAACGUGCCCAGACGUGGGGGAUAACGAGGCGAAAGCUUUGCUAAUACCGCAUACGAUCUAAGGAUGAAAGCAGGGGACCGCAAGGCCUUGUGCGGUUGGAGCGGCCGAUGGGAGAUGAGGUAGUUGGUGGGAGAAAAGCUUACCAAGCCGACGAGCUGUAGCUGGGCUGAGAGGACGACCAGCCACAAUGCAACGGAGAAAGCGUCCAGAGGCCUACGGGAGGCAGCAGGGGGGAAUAUGGGAAAAUGGGCGCAAGCCUGAUCCAGUCAUACCGCGUGGGGGAAGAAGGCUGUCGGGUUGUAAAGACCUUUGGGUAGGAAAGAAAAGCAGCAGGUUAAGACCCCGCGGUGCUGACGGUACCUAAAGAAUAAGCACCGGCUAACUUCGUG
Molecule: ribosomal RNA, 482 nt
Filed under: uncultured bacterium
Lineage: Bacteria
Description: partial 16S ribosomal RNA
Rfam family: Bacterial small subunit ribosomal RNA
Source: RNAcentral